Long non-coding RNA from Homo sapiens (human), 3378 nucleotides. RefSeq lists it as uncharacterized. NCBI's taxonomy places the organism in Eukaryota, Metazoa, Chordata, Mammalia, Primates, Hominidae. The transcript has 2 exons. The record is from RefSeq and is a predicted model, not a curated record.
CGGCGCAUCAGGAAAGGGGCUGCGCGGGCGCGAGGACUGGCCGGUGGGCGUUCCGGCGCCGCGAACCGCGGAGCCUGCAACUUACAAGUAGGACGUUGAAGAAAGGACAAGCCCCCUUUGUCCUGGACGUAAGCCGCAAGUCGUCCUGAGUGGUGCACACCGCGAAGACUGAGGAAACUGGAUCACAGGGCUGGGCCGUGAGCCUUGAACCUCGGAGAACGUCGCAUUACUGCUCCAGCGCGCCGGUUCAGGGCCGCGGGACGCGAGCCCUUUAAAAGGAUGGAUUUGCUUCCUGUGACUCCCUGGAAGAGACGUCUUCACCACCGCACUGCGUAGAGGCCGGCGUCGUCGCCGGCUCACCCCGCUUGCUGCCUCCCCGCACAAAGCCCAGCCCAGGUAGCUCAGGUUAGCUGGAGCCCCGGAGCCUCACCUACAAGUACCUGGCCUGUCCUAGGUUGUGUGGGGACGGGAUGUGGCUUCUGCAAGCCCAGAAACCUGUUUCCACUCCCCCACCACAAAUGGAACUCACCCAGCUCUACUCGCAAGGUUAGGAGCCAAAAAUUCCCAUGAUCGCACGCGAAUUCAUUUGACUUCCGUUUCAGUUAAGAUGCCUUUUCAGCAUUUUGUUGCUUGUUUGCAGAAGGGAGAGAGGUAGGAUCAAGAAUAGUUUUUACUCCUGCAGAGUCGAGUGCGAGACUUGGAGGCUGAGUCCAGGCGCUCUCCCCUCCCCGCCAGUCCCGUGUCCUGGAGCAGGUCACUGACCUGGUUCCUCGAGUGCGACAGCGCAGCCUCAUCGUAAUAAACCGCCUCCCAAAGCGUUGUCAGAUCAAAUUCCAGAACAUGUUACUGGAAAGCACCUUGAACACUCUAAACUGCAGCACAGUUAUUAGUUAGCAAUACUCUUUGGGGUUUCACUGGCACCUUUUCUAACAAAUAAGAUUGAUAGAUGCCUGCUCAAACAAAUUGAAGUGCUUGUCUCAGAUGACACACUUGGCAGGCAUGGGACGUUCACAGGCCAACUAGAGAGCUAAUUUCAAAACUGAGAUAUAAAAGUGUAUCGCUGUACUUACAAGUUACCAAGUGUUGAGAAAUUACUCACUUUCAUUUGUGUGUUUAAUGUCUUUUUUGUUUUUUUAGACGGAGUCUCACUCUGUUCCCCAGGCUGCAGUGCAGUGGCAUGAUCUCGGCCCACUGCAACCUCCGCUUCCUGGGUUCAAGCAAUCCUCACAUUUCAGCCUCCCGAGUAGCUGGGAUUACAGGCGCGCACCACCAUGUCCAGCUAAUUUUUAAAAAUAUUUUUAGUAGAGACGGGGUUUCGCCAUGUUGGCCAGGCCGGUCUCAAACUCCUGGCCUCCAGCAAUCCGCUGGCCUCGGCCUCCUGAAGUGCUAGGAUUACAGGCGUGAGCCACCGCGCCUGGCCUGUUUAAUGUCUUGCAGUGGGGUCAUCUCCGAAACAAAGAGGGAUGGGAAGAAGGUAGGUGCCAAGAAGUCUGCUGGUUGGAAGAUUUCAUCUCAUUGGCGAGAUCCCUGGGUUUCUCCACCUCAGCAGUGUUGGCUUUUGGGAUGGGAUAAUCCUUUCAUGUGGGGUCUGUUCCAUGCUUUGUAGGAUGUUUGACAGCAUCCCUGGCCUCCACCCACUAGAUGCCAGUAGCACACACACUCCUCCAAAAUUCACGGAAAACGUCUUCAAAGUCAAAUAUGUGGCCCCACCUUCAUCUCCAUCCCCAACCCCUGAUUUAAAAUUUGCCACUGGUGAUGAUCUCAUUGGGAGCUAUUGAGAAUACACAGGACUGUGGUUUACACCUGUAAUCCCAACACUUUGGGAGGCUGAGGCUGGAGGAUGGCUUGAGCCCAGGAGUUUGAGACCAGCCUGGGCAACAUAGCAAGACCCCAACUCUAAAAUAAAUAAAAUUUUAAAAAAUUUUAAAAAGGCCAAGAACAGUGGCUCUCACCUGUAAUCCCAGCACUUUGGGAGGCCGAGGCAAGUGGAUCACUUGAGGUCAGGAGUUUGAGACCAGCCUGGCCAACACAGUGAAACCCCAUCUCUGCUAAAAAUACAAAAAUUAGCGAGGCGUGGUGGUGCACGCCUGUAAUCCCAGCUGCUCCAGAGACUGAGGCAGGAGAAUCGCUUGAACCCAGGAGGCAGGGUUUGCAGUGAGUCGAGACUGUGCCACUGCACUCCAGCCUGGGUGACGGAGUCAAACUCCAUCUCAAAAAAAAAUACACAGGAUUGUGGCUCAUGCCUGUAAUACCGGCACUUUGGGAGGCCAAGGUGGUAGGAUGGCUUGAGCCCAGGAGUUCAGGACCAGCCUGGGCAACAUAGCAAGACCCCAACUGUACAAUAAAUAAAUAAAAUUUUUUAAAAUGAAACAAAGGCCGGCCAGCUGCAAUGGCUCACGCCUGUAAUCCCAGCACUUUGGGAGGCCGAGGCAGGCAGAUCACUUGAGGUCAGGAGUUCUAGACCAGCCUGGCCAACGUGGUGAAACCCCAUUUCUACUAAAAAUAUAAAAAUUAGCCAGCCGUGGUGGCAGGCACCAGUAAUCCGAGCUAUUUAGGAGGCUGAGGCAGGAGAAUCGCUUGAACCCAGGAGGCAGGGGUUACAGUGAGCCGAGAUUGCACCACUGCACUCCAGCCUGGACAACAAGAGUGAGACUCCAUCUCAAAAAAAAAAAAUUAAAAAUAAAAGAAUGCACAGUCCAGUAAUGUCACCCAGCCCUAUAUCAGUAAAGGUCACACUCUAGAGUGGUACAUAUCUCAGCUGCAUCUAAGGCCUUGCUAAUUAGCUCAUUAGAAUGUCACAAAUGGGUUUUUAUAUUACCCAUGUAUAGCUGCCAAAAAUGUUUAAGUGAAUCUAAUCAAAGUUGGAAAAAAAAAUAAGAAAAAUCCAGGUUGGAAGACAUUCAGCAAAACAAUUUCCCUGCACUACACUCUAAAAAAAGUCAAGCUAGGGAAUUGGUCCAGACAGAUAACACAACUGGGUUGGUCCAUUAAGUGACCCCUGAUGCAGCACUGCAUUGAAGGCAAAAAAGCUGUGAGAGAGAUUUGAGGGACAACUGGGGAACUUUGUAGUUAUAUAUGGACUAUAUAUUAGACAGUAUUAUUGUAUCAUCAUUAGAUUUUUCAGUGUGACAGUGGCUAUUUACAAGAAUGCCCUAGUUCUUAGGAUGUUAGUGCUGAAUCAUUAGACAAGAGACCUGAUGGCUACAACUGACAUAUAAAUGCCUCAGAGACUGAUGUAUUUUAUAUGGAGGUAAAGCAAAUGUAACAAACUGUUAAUAGUUGGUGGAUCUAAGUGAUGAGUCUAGGUGUGUUAUUGUGCAGUUUUUUCAACUUUUCUGGAAAACGAACUUUUCAAAAUAAAAAAUUGGAAAAAUAGAA